CCUACGGGGGACAGCAGUGAGGAAUAUUGGUCAAUGGGCGGGAGCCUGAACCAGCCAAGUCGCGUGAGGGAAGACGGUCCUACGGAUUGUAAACCUCUUUUGCCGGGGAGCAACGGGGUCCUUGCGAGGGCCCAAUGAGAGUACCCGGAGAAAAAGCAUCGGCUAACUCCGUGCCAGCAGCCGCGGUCAUACGGGGGAUGCGAGCGGUAUCCGGAUUUAUUGGGUUUAAAGGGUGCGUAGGCGGGCUGUUAAGUCAGCGUUCAAAUGUCGGGGCUCAACCCCGGCCUGCCGUUGAAACUGGCGGCCUCGAGUGGGCGAGAAGUAUGCGGAAUGCGUGGUGUAGCGGUGAAAUGCAUAGAUAUCACGCAGAACUCCGAUUGCGAAGGCAGCAUACCGGCGCCCUACUGACGCUGAGGCACGAAAGCGUGGGUAUCGAACAGGAUUAGAUACCCCAGUAGUC
This 460-nucleotide ribosomal RNA is filed under the name uncultured bacterium. RNAcentral's name for it is "partial 16S ribosomal RNA". It matches the Rfam family "Bacterial small subunit ribosomal RNA", at positions 338 to 795 of the family's 1533-position model. The record is from RNAcentral.